GACGAACGCUGGCGGCGUGCUUAACACAUGCAAGUCGAACGGAAAGGCCCUGCUUUUGUGGGUUGCUCGUUUGGCGAACGGGUGAGUAACACGUGAGUAACCUGCCCUUAACUUUGUGAUAACUUCAGGAAACUGCGGCUAAUACCGGAUAUGAUCUCCUGCUCCAUGUUGGUGGUUGGAAAGUUUCGGCGGUUGGGGCUGGACUCGCGGCUUAUCAGCUUGUUGGUGGGGUAGUUACUUACCAAGGCUGUGACGGGUAGCCGGCCUGAGAGGGUUACCGGCCACAUGGGGACUGAGAUACGGAGCAGACGCCUACGGGAGGCAGCAGGGGGGAAUAUUGCACAAUGGGCGGAAGCCUGAUGCAGAAACGCCGCGUGCGGGAUGACGGCCUUCGGGUGGUAAACAGCUUUCGCAUGUGACGAAGAGUGAGUGACGGUAAUGGGUAAAGAAGCACCGGCUAACUACGUG
RNAcentral lists this ribosomal RNA (468 nucleotides) under uncultured bacterium. RNAcentral's name for it is "partial 16S ribosomal RNA". It matches the Rfam family "Bacterial small subunit ribosomal RNA", at positions 28 to 507 of the family's 1533-position model. The record is from RNAcentral.